UAGCGGGAAGGAAAGAACUAAACUAGGAUUCCCUCAGUAAGGGCGACUGAAGCGGGAAGAGCUCGGCCUGUGAAUCGGCGUUGCAAGGCGCUGAGUUGUGAUUAGCCAUUGUUUGUGCCUUUACUUACCAUGUUGUAUGGAAGAAAGACAAGACAAGACCAAGAACAGAACAAUGUAUAAUAUAACAGAACAAAUCAUAAUUACACUUGUAUAAAUCAUUCAAUCUUUGAUUGUAUGAAUGUAUGAAUGUAUGAAUGUAUGAUUAUAUGAUUGUCCCUGUUGUUGUUGUUGUUGUUGUUGUCUGUCCUUGUUGUUGUCUUAUUCUUGUACUGCCAAAUGAAGUCUACUGGAAAGUAGCAGCAUAGAAGGUGACACUCCUGUACAUUUGGCCAUGCAACAGAAAAGCAAACACAUUACGAGUCGAGUUGUUUGGGAUUGCAGCUCCAAGUAGGUGGUAAAUUCCAUCGAAAGCUAAAUACACAUGAGAGACCGAUAGUGAACAAGUACCGUGAGGGAAAGAUGCAAAGAACUUUGAAAAGAGAGUUAAAGAGUACCUGAAAUUGUCAAAGCGGAAGCGAAGGGAACCAGUGCUUGUUUAGCACAACAUACUUCCUUCUCUGCUUGCAGAGCAAGGCGCUGUGUUGUGCCGCAAUGCUAGUGCAUUCGUGUACUAGUUGUUGUUAUCUCAUCACACUUUGUUCAUUUACUACUAUAUUAUAUUAUGUUAUAUUAUAUUAUAUUAUAUUAUAUUAUAUUAUAUUAUAUUAUAUAUAGCCAAGCACACGAUGCACCUGAUUUACCUGUAUAUGAUCAUGUCAUUGACUGGUGUACUCACUUGCUAUGGGCAAUGGACAGAGCCUUUUGUGGUAGCGUAUAUCCUGGCUUUGCCAUUAGAUGCUGCCACACUGUGAUCAAAUGGUUCUCUCU
This 927-nucleotide ribosomal RNA is filed under the name Luticola goeppertiana. RNAcentral's name for it is "eukaryotic LSU rRNA". It matches the Rfam family "Eukaryotic large subunit ribosomal RNA", at positions 47 to 645 of the family's 3401-position model. Lineage: Eukaryota; Bacillariophyta; Bacillariophyceae; Naviculales; Stauroneidaceae. The record is from RNAcentral.